AGCAAAUGUGUCCCUUAUUCUCAACCUCCUCGUUAUUACAAAAUGUGUCAUUUAUCGGUAUGUCGUCGUCUACAGACGAUAGAGUAUCUUCGGGAAGAAUUGCUCUGGUGUCCGAAUCUUCCAUUGCCAGUUUGUAGGAUACCAAAAAAAGAUUCAAGACCCUAACUAAGAGUUUCGGUUCCUUUGUUAUUAUAGACUCGUCUUCGCAAGACUGAAUAGUUUGCGGGCAAAAUCUUCAAAUAAUUCACUUGUUCUGAUCAGAAACAAAGACAAAACGUACUUAAACUAAAUCAAUGGAUAUACACUGAGUGUACAAAACAUGGACUGACCAGGUGAAUCCAGGUGAAAGAUAUGAUCCCUUAUUGAUGUCACUUGUUAAAUCCACUUCAAUCAGCGUAGAUGAAGGGGAGGAGACAGGUUAAAUAAUUAUUUUUAAGCCUUGAGACAAUUGAGAUGGAUUGUGCAUGUAUGCCAUUCAGAGGGUGAAUGGGCAAGACAAAAUAUUGAAGUCCCUUUGAACGAGGUAUGGUAGUAGGUGCCAGGCGCGCUGGUUAGAGUGUGUUAAAAACAGUAACGCUGCUGUUUUUUUUUAAUGCUCAACAGCUUCCCAUGUGUAUCAAGAAUGCACCUUGUGGAAUAGCAGGGGACUGUGAAGAGACACACACAGUGCCUUAGUGUGUUUGGACCCCAAGAAGAGUAGCUGCUGCCUUGGCUGGGAAUGUUCAUCCUGCAUGUGUCCUCACAUGUUUCACCAAUCCCUCUCAGAAAUAUCCUGACAUAUCCUGUUGUAUUCAAGGUGUGUUCCAUAAUAUUUCCAAAUAAUGUCUAUGAAACAUCUGUACAAUAAAGGCACAGAAUUCCAGAACA
Long non-coding RNA from Salmo salar (Atlantic salmon), 867 nucleotides. RefSeq lists it as uncharacterized. The record is from RefSeq and is a predicted model, not a curated record. Lineage: Eukaryota; Metazoa; Chordata; Actinopteri; Salmoniformes; Salmonidae.